RNAcentral lists this ribosomal RNA (253 nucleotides) under uncultured bacterium. RNAcentral describes it as "partial 16S ribosomal RNA". It matches the Rfam family "Bacterial small subunit ribosomal RNA", at positions 524 to 776 of the family's 1533-position model. The record is from RNAcentral.
UACAGAGGGUGCGAGCGUUAAUCGGAAUUACUGGGCGUAAAGCGCGCGUAGGCGGUUUUGUAAGUCGGGGGUGAUAUCCCCAAGCUUAACUUGGGAACUGCAUUCGAGACUGCAUAGCUAGAGUAUGGGAGAGGGAAGUGGAAUUUCAGGUGUAGCGGUGAAAUGCGUAGAUAUCUGAAGGAACAUCAGUGGCGAAAGCGACUUCCUGGACCAAUACUGACGCUCAUGUGCGAAAGCGUGGGGAGCAAACAGG